This 253-nucleotide ribosomal RNA is filed under the name uncultured bacterium. RNAcentral describes it as "partial 16S ribosomal RNA". It matches the Rfam family "Bacterial small subunit ribosomal RNA", at positions 524 to 776 of the family's 1533-position model. The record is from RNAcentral.
UACGAAGGGGGCUAGCGUUGUUCGGAAUUACUGGGCGUAAAGCGCACGUAGGCGGACUACUAAGUCAGGGGUGAAAUCCCGGGGCUCAACCCCGGAACUGCCUUUGAUACUGAUAGUCUCGAGUCCGGAAGAGGUGAGUGGAAUUCCGAGUGUAGAGGUGAAAUUCGUAGAUAUUCGGAGGAACACCAGUGGCGAAGGCGGCUCACUGGUCCGGUACUGACGCUGAGGUGCGAAAGCGUGGGGAGCAAACGGG